ACCAGUGUGGUGUAGUGGUUUGAAUACUGGAUUAUGACUCUGGAGACUAGGGUUCAAAUCCCAGCUUGGCCA
Phrynosoma platyrhinos (Desert horned lizard) is the source of this 72-nucleotide non-coding RNA. The record is from the annotation of a GenBank genome assembly. Lineage: Eukaryota; Metazoa; Chordata; Lepidosauria; Squamata; Phrynosomatidae.